This 2139-nucleotide unclassified non-coding RNA is filed under the name Homo sapiens (human). RNAcentral's name for it is "partial carcinoembryonic antigen related cell adhesion molecule 19, transcript variant 8". The record is from RNAcentral. Lineage: Eukaryota; Metazoa; Chordata; Mammalia; Primates; Hominidae.
AUGGAGAUUCCCAUGGGGACCCAGGGCUGCUUCUCAAAGAGCCUCCUGCUCUCAGGUAAGGAGGAAAUAGACCCUAAAGGCCAAGGGGAGAAAUGGGGACUCAGCCCAGAGAUUGAAGUUUCCUCUUAGAAGUAGGGAAAGAUUACCUGAGAGGAUGAAAUUAGAAUAAGAUGGGGGAGGGGCAACAGAAUCACAGCCUCAUUGCCAUUUUAUCUAUGGAAUUUUCUAUAAUGUUAGGACCAUGAAGGCAGGAAUUUAUGUAUGUUUGGUUCCCUGCUAUAUCUCCAGUGUCUAGAAAUUGAAGGAAGUUUAGAUGUAUUACAUAUAGUUGGUAUUAUAGCUUAUAUAUUACAUAUGCCUAUAAGUAUUGGUUGAAUAAAUGAAUGAAUGAAUGAAUUCAGAGAGUCCAUGUGUUUAGAAGCAGGCCACACAGCAUCUCAAGGUAGAAAAACCUCUGGAUCAACAGGAUGGCAAAUCUGUGGUAACCAUGCCUGUGUUCCCACUCCUGCACCCAGGGCAGACAUCACUAAUCAAUCCCAGCAUUGUUUCCAAUGAGCAGCACUCAGAGUCCUUGCUCCCCGCUGAAGAUCUGUAUCUAGAGAGGAGCAUGCCAUGGUCCCUGGCAACACCCCUGAUCUCAGCCCUUCCCUGUAACUUCCCACAGCCUCAAUCCUGGUCCUCUGGAUGCUCCAAGGCUCCCAGGCAGCUCUCUACAUCCAGAAGAUUCCAGAGCAGCCUCAAAAGAACCAGGACCUUCUCCUGUCAGUCCAGGGUGUCCCAGACACCUUCCAGGACUUCAACUGGUACCUGGGGGAGGAGACGUACGGAGGCACGAGGCUAUUUACCUACAUCCCUGGGAUACAACGGCCUCAGAGGGAUGGCAGUGCCAUGGGACAGCGAGACAUCGUGGGCUUCCCCAAUGGUUCCAUGCUGCUGCGCCGCGCCCAGCCUACAGACAGUGGCACCUACCAAGUAGCCAUUACCAUCAACUCUGAAUGGACUAUGAAGGCCAAGACUGAGGUCCAGGUAGCUGGAUGGCGACCACAGAGAAGCCAGAAUUGGGCCCUGCUCAUGAUGCUGGUGACAACAACAUCUAUGAAGUGAUGCCCUCUCCAGUCCUCCUGGUGUCCCCCAUCAGUGACACAAGGUCCAUAAACCCAGCCCGGCCCCUGCCCACACCCCCACACCUGCAGGCGGAGCCAGAGAACCACCAGUACCAGGACCUGCUAAACCCCGACCCUGCCCCCUACUGCCAGCUGGUGCCAACUUCCUGAUGGGUCCUGGGCCAGGCCAGCCAGGGAGAAGACAAGGCCCCAGCCCUCCUCUGGGAGCCUCACACCUGAGACCAGCAGGACAAGGCCAUUGGGGGCUGUGGGGCCGAUGAGGUGGACUCAGCCAAAGACUCAGCAGCACAUGGGGCAGGUGUCCUGGCAGGGGGACAGGAGACUGUAACAGGCCCAGGUCCUUGUGCAGCCCGUGAAUGCACGCCCGCCUUCGGUCUGUUCCUUCAAGCAAGCUGGCCUGGGCCAUGUGCCUGUGAAAGGCAGGCUCUGGCCCCUUUCCAUGCCAAAGUCCCCCAAGAUCUGGAUAUCUGGGGACAAGAUGGUGGCCUCAGGCCUGCCUCCCAGGCAGUUGGCUGGGCUCCCAACUGUCUGUCCUCAAUGCCCUACCCCAACUCCACUAGUGACCCUCAGAGUCUUCUCCCCUUAGGACAAGGCAGACACCCCACCAUGCGGGCCUCAGGUGGCAGAGAGGCCCAGCCUCACAGGCCUGUGGCCCCACACACCAGUCCCAGCAAGGUGACCACGGCUGCUGGACCCCUUCCCUGUUCAGGCAGGCCCAGCCCCUCUCAGAACCUGCUGCCAGCUGCUGGUCUUGGCCCCCACCCUGAAUCUUACUGAGUCCCUCUGGGCAGCAGCUCCCUUCUCCACCCCACCCCAGCACCCGUCCCAAAUGUGGCCUCAGCUUGUCCUCCCCUUCCCCAAACUAUGCAUUCAUUCAGCAAUAAAUGAGCCUUUGCUGUAUGCCAGACCCAGUUCUAGGCUCUUGCAGCCCUGGUAGAAAGCAAAACAAAAACUCCCGCUUUCCCAGAGGGUCACUUGGCAGGGGAAAGAAUCAGGAAAUAAAAUAAAUAAUGAA